Molecule: ribosomal RNA, 579 nt
Filed under: Bacillus subtilis
Lineage: Bacteria; Bacillati; Bacillota; Bacilli; Caryophanales; Bacillaceae
Description: partial 23S ribosomal RNA
Rfam family: Bacterial large subunit ribosomal RNA
Source: RNAcentral
GUAAAGGCACAAGGGAGCUUGACUGCGAGACCUACAAGUCGAGCAGGGACGAAAGUCGGGCUUAGUGAUCCGGUGGUUCCGCAUGGAAGGGCCAUCGCUCAACGGAUAAAAGCUACCCCGGGGAUAACAGGCUUAUCUCCCCCAAGAGUCCACAUCGACGGGGAGGUUUGGCACCUCGAUGUCGGCUCAUCGCAUCCUGGGGCUGUAGUCGGUCCCAAGGGUUGGGCUGUUCGCCCAUUAAAGCGGUACGCGAGCUGGGUUCAGAACGUCGUGAGACAGUUCGGUCCCUAUCCGUCGCGGGCGCAGGAAAUUUGAGAGGAGCUGUCCUUAGUACGAGAGGACCGGGAUGGACGCACCGCUGGUGUACCAGUUGUUCUGCCAAGGGCAUCGCUGGGUAGCUAUGUGCGGACGGGAUAAGUGCUGAAAGCAUCUAAGCAUGAAGCCCCCCUCAAGAUGAGAUUUCCCAUUCCGCAAGGAAGUAAGAUCCCUGAAAGAUGAUCAGGUUGAUAGGUCUGAGGUGGAAGUGUGGCGACACAUGGAGCUGACAGAUACUAAUCGAUCGAGGGCUUAACCAUAUUU